CCAUGCAUCAACUGCAACAGCUAUGGUCCGGACUCUGCUGCUAGGGGUGUUUCCAGUGGAUGUCCUCCUUCAAAGUAACCUCAAAGGUUGAAAAUCCAGAAGGGAUGAGACUGAUCUGCAGCGGGAAGCAGUUGACUCCAACACCAUCUAUGUUAUUUUUGACGCAGUGUUGAAGAAAUUUCCACAGGCCACCAAGGGACAACUGGGGACAGCUGUCAACUCAAAAAUAGCUGAG
This is a long non-coding RNA of Perca fluviatilis (European perch), 235 nucleotides long. RefSeq lists it as uncharacterized. The record is from RefSeq and is a predicted model, not a curated record. The transcript has 3 exons. Lineage: Eukaryota; Metazoa; Chordata; Actinopteri; Perciformes; Percidae.